This is a non-coding RNA of Caulobacterales bacterium, 74 nucleotides long. NCBI's taxonomy places the organism in Bacteria, Pseudomonadati, Pseudomonadota, Alphaproteobacteria, Caulobacterales. The record is from Rfam.
CGGGGCGUAGCGCAGCCUGGUAGCGCAUCUGCUUUGGGAGCAGAGGGUCGCAGGUUCGAAUCCUGCCGCCCCGA